GUGACAGUUUGCAUAGAGUGGUCUUGUCCUAUUAAGCAACUGAUGUUAUGAGAGGGAUCUUUUGUUCUUUAUAGCUUUUGUAGAAACACAACUCCUGGCUAUAACUAAGUUGAAAUCCUCUGGGAGGGGAAAAAGGUUCCUACUUUUUAAAGGGAAACCUUGCGAUUUAACAGAUUAUAAGUGUUAUGAGAAAUGGUCUCUAACAGUGCACUGUCAAUUUUGAGGCACAAGUUGAAGUUGGGUUUUCCUAGCUUCACAGUACAGAACGUAAAAUGGUGAAAUCCAAAUGUUCACCUCACUUUUUGAACAAUGUGAGCAAUGGAAAAGUCCUGGGGUUGGAGCCCGGAUAGGGUUCCUGUUGUCUUCCAUAUGUUGUUGCACUGCAACUCCUAUCAACCAUGGGCACCAUGGCCAAGGAAGGUAGGAGUUGUAGUCCAACUGUAUCUUGAGGGCUACAGGAACCUCCUUUCUGUUUUAGAAAGAAUGGGAGGCAGUGGGGUACUGAAAGGUGAGAGGGGUCAUGGACCCAGGAGUCCAGCAGGAGGACCCAAGUGGCUUCUCUGUGAUAGAGGAGGUGCUGCUGCUCUGCUAUCUUUCUCCACUUCAGCACUACCACUACUACUGAUAGCUAGAGAGCCAUGUUGCAUUGGCUGGCUCAGUAGGAAUCAGGGGACACAUGGAGCCAAUAGGGCUCCACCUAGUUCAAUAAAUCAGCUGACUAGGGUAUGGCUCCUCAAUCUGGUUUAAGGAUUGUGCGAACAUGCAGGCUCUCAGAGAAGAACUUGGAGCCCUCUUUACUGCACCUCCUGGUCCAUUUCACUGUUGUUUGGCUUAGUGAUUCAUCAGAACCGGGACUCAUGCUUAAGCACUCUCAUUUCCAGGCAUGAGCUGAGAACAAACCCCAUGUCUCCCUGUCUUGUGCAGACCACGCCUCUAACAAACUCAUUGCUCAGGCACAGAUUGAGUUCUUAUUGCCCAUUCCCACUUCUGAACCCAUACUUGGGGAUGCCACCCCCCCCAUAAUCAAUUCAUACUAGUUUCUUUCUUUGGUCUGUUUCUGCUGCUGAAAUCAAGGGACUGAUGCCAAUAUUUCCAUCAGAGUAAGUAAGCUGUAAUUGGCUUGUGGACAUUAUCCUAGCAGGAGCAUGCUGGCUACUUGUAUGGAGCGGGUGGCCGGCAAUGAGUAGGCUGCAGUUUUGUAAUACUGAGCCUAAUUGGGUAUAAGUGAAUUAUUUCUAGAUCCAUGACCAGCAUAAAUGAGGCUGCAUUAAUUCCAGGCAUGCAGCUGAUGGCUACAGUUUUGCAUAUCCCUAGACAAUGUCUGACCUAAUCAUGAUGAUGUAAAUAGAGUUGCCGGUCCAGAACAUUCAUACUUACUCUACUGAUGUGUCUCUGCCUAAAAUAAAGAAGUUGGUCUGCUUCCUCCUGGGUUGGAUUUUUACCCCAAUCUUCCUGUUGCCUCAGGCCUUUUAAGGAGAAAACUUUGUUGGCAGUGGGCUUGGGUGUUUUAGCAGCUUUGGGAAAUAACUCUGUGCUCUAGUUGAGUACCCGGAAUGAAUUAUGUUCGUAACCAGAGGUACCACUGUACCCAGUUACAGACAGCUUUGUUUUUGUUGGUGGUUUUAGAAAAAUGAUGGUAACCCACCCUAUUUUAUAAUAUUUGUAACCAACCCCAUCUUGACAGCUUGGCAAUUGAACCCAGCCAUAAACCCCAUUGCAGCAGCCAUCACACAGCCGUAUUCCAGAACAUCUGGAGAGCCACCACAGGUUGGCCCCCAAUUGGUGUCCUUGAGCUCAUGGGUGGGCUCUUGAUCCAGGAGAAUCAACUGUCAGCAGAAGUAUAUGGGGGAAGGGGAUUUUUGUCAAAUGAAAGGAUCUGAUUUUGCUAUGCACUGGUCUGUGAUCAGAGUUUGAGGAUAGAGGGAAGCCUUUGCUUAACUUGGGCUCUUCUCUGCUUCAGAAUCUCAUUUUAUGUUUGAUUUGUUCCAAGUGCUCCAAAUAUUGAUGCAAAUGAAGUAGGGAAAGGGCAAAGUGAUUGUGUAACCCAGCCUACAGUGGGGCGCUUUCUGCUCUUUUAAUGAUAAUGUACCUACUCUUCUGGAAGGAAGAAAACCUUCCAACAUGCCCUUGUCUUUCAAUAUAGUAAAUCUCCAUAGAAUACUCUACAGCAUACUUCAUGCUCAAUAGUUGCUGGGAAUCAAAGCCUUUUGCUGCUGUAUUUCUUGAUAACAGCCCACAAGAGUUCAGUAGGCUUUGAAAUUCAAGGCGCAGCAAGGAGAAUAGUCUGCUGCCCUUUAAUUUGAUGUUUUCUUUCUUUUUUAAAAGAUAUGCCUUUUACAGUGAUUGGUACAGAUCCAAGAUCUAUUAUUCUGUGCAAUCUGCAUUCAUUCGUGCUGAGAUAAGGGGAAGCAUUUUCAGCAUUGCUGAAAAUGAUGUGAAACGAUAAAUAGCCCAGAUAUGGGGGCGGGGGGAGAGGAGAAAGGGCAGGCUGUGCACUUGGAAAACAAAACCUGCUGUUGAGCUCAGAUGGGUAGGAGGAGGUUAGAAUCUUCCUGAUAAUAUAAACAGGGCCAGUUUGUCAGCAGCGCUCUGUUGAUAAUGAACCGAUUGUUUCCUGCCCACAUAGAGAUGGGUUUGUCAAAACUUCUCUGAGGGUCAAAGAUCCGCUGGAAGAAGCUGAGUCACUCUGUUUUUCUCUUUAGGGUUGAUGGUUUGCUUAGGGAACUGCAUGUCUGCUGUGCAGCGCUUCUGUAGCCUUAGCCCUGUUGCAAGCCAAGGGUGUCUAAGAGAUUGUUCUGGUUCAUAAUAACCACGUGCUAUUGGCUGCUAUGGUGGUUGGUCUGUUGCGUAUAAGAGGGAGAAACUGGCAUAGAAUCAUAGAAUUGUAAAGUUGGAAGGGACCUUGCAGAUCAUCUAGUUCAGGGGUCAGCAAACUUUUUCACCAGGGGGCCGGUCCACUGUCCCUUAGACCUUGUGGGGUGCCGGACUAUAUUUUUUGGGGGGAAAUGAACGAACUCCCAUGCCCCACAAAUAACCCAGAGAUGCAUUUUAAAUAAAAGGACACAUUCUACUCAUGUAAAAACAUGCUGAUUCCCGGACCGUCUGGAGGCUGGAUUUAGAAGGUGAUUGGGCUGGAUCCGGCCCCCGGGCCUUAGUUUGCCUACCCAUGAUCUAGGUCAACUGCCUGCAAUGCAGGAAUAUGCAGCUGCCCCAUACAGAGAUCAAGCCUGCAACCCUGCUGUUAUUAGCACCAUGCUCUAACCAACUGAGCUAUCCAUGGUGGGGGAAAUUCAAGGUUUGCAGAAGGACUAAAAACAUUUUUGGAUAAACAACCUCAAGAGUGGGGAUCCCCAAACAGCUCCCUGAGCAUCUGCUGUGGCCACAGGGUGCUAUUUGAGAUGGGUGAAACAGAAAACCGGGGGUUGGAGAAGGAAAGGAAUGAGCUACUCUUGAAGAGAACCCUGGAACAGGAGCACUCUACACUACAGCAUUUUGUUGUGAGUUCCAGGGCUCAGUGGAUAUUUGGACCUGGAUUUUCCCAGUCGUUCAUUCAUUCAUUUUAUUUGUAUGCCAAAUCCUGCUCAAAGCAGCUUACAACAAAGAAACAGGGAUGCGUUUCAAACACAACAAAAUCAAUUUCAUAAUAGCAUAGCAAAACAAUAGUGAAUAUAACAACAUACCAAAAUAACACAUCCCACUACAGCAUGUCGGUACAGUAUGAGAAAUGUAAUCUCAGGGUUGUGUGUUCAAACCCCACAUUGGGCAAAAGAUUCCUGCAUUGCAGGGGUGGGACUAGAUGACCCUCUUGGUCCCUUCCAACUCUUCUGUUCUACGAUUCAAUGAAAUAAUAACAAGAUUACUAAGACAGCAUUCAGCACCCAAUAGCAAAAAUAACAAGGGAGCGUCACAGUUUCACCUUAGUCCUAGAAAACACUCCUCCUAUGAUGUUGCUCAGUCCUAACUCUGCACUGUAAACCACUACAUCUCACUGGUUCUCAUAGCUCAAGGAAUAGUUUAAAAUAUGUGUGAGAGUUGUAAAAGGCUUAGGUUAGCAUCAAAAGAGCCCUUUUCACACAUUUGCCUGGUUUAGACAUCGGACUAAGUCAGCCAUUGCAAACCUAGUGCUUUCCAGAUCCUUUGAUGAGACUUGUAGUCCAAAACAUCUGGAGGACACCAAGUUGGCAAAUGCAGUGUUAAAGCAUAGGUGGUGUUGUUGUAGGUUUUAAUGUGAAUGGAUAACAACUGGUGUGCACUGUGCCGAGUUCCUACUAAGUUCCUCCCCUCCUCAUCUGAUUGAUGUGAACUCAUGGUUUGCAUCAUGCAGAGUGAGUUUCUGAUUGUUUCCUCCCCUAGCAUGGCAAAUGGGUUAGCAGGGGCUGGAACAAAUUGUGAACUUCUGAGCAGCUUUCAGAUUAAACCAUAGUUUACUAUCAACAUGAUUUCUGCAGCAGGCCAUUAAAGGCCUGUGCCAUCCACUGAAUCUUCCUCCUUUGGUUUUGGAUACCAUUGUAUCCAUCAAUCCCAAAUGUUUUGUGCAUCCUUUAACUUUUCAAGGUAACAGAAUUGGUCCUCUCUGUGAACAUAAGAUAGAGCCUUGUUUCUAUGACAUUUUCAUUCCAAGGAAGCAUGUGGAAUUCUGCCAGCCCUGAGCUCGGUCCAGUUAUUUAUCUGCUUCACAUUUAAAACUAACAAAAGGGAACUGGCCCUAUUUCCUCAUCGAUAUAUUUAGCUGGUGGAGAGCUGAGUACAUGUUGAGCAAUAGAAGUUUGCUACUUGUUUCCUUUGCAGCUUGUCCGUUAACUUUAUUUUGGAAAACGGGUCGUUCUAAAAGAUCUAUUCUUUCAGUGUGGCUGUUUUUUCUUCUUCUGUUGUUUCAAUGCCUUGCUUGUUUUCUUCCUCCUGAUUUUGUUAUGCUCAGUGGAGUGUUGCUGGCAGUGUAUGCCAGUGAGGCUCCUUAUACAGAGUCCGAUCACUGGCCUAUCUCUUCCAGUGCUGGCUGCUCUGACUUAAAGUGGCUCUCCCUCGCCUUGUGAGUGGUUUAGUGGUUAGAGUGUUGUACUAGGACUGGAGAGACUAGUUCAACACUCUGCCCAGCUAUAGGAGGUCACUGGGUUUUGGGCAUCCUUGAGCCUGUCACUGUCUAACCAACCUCACAGAGUUGUUGUGGGGAGUGAAAUGGGGAAAGGGAACUGUGCAAGCUGCUUCGAGCUCCUUUGAGGAAAGGCAAUGUAAUGAAUAAAAUCAGUAAAAGGCCUUUCCUAGUCCUUCUACUGAAGAGCAAAACAGAGAAAUACUCUCUGGACAACUAGCACUCGGAAACAAAUGAAAGGUCAGGGGAAUAAUGGUAAACUUUUACUAACACACACACAUAUAGAUAAAAUGUGUUAAUGAAUUAGAGCAAUAUCAAUGCAGUAAUUAAAACACCACACCCACAUGUUAAGUGCUAUUUUAAGUGAUUUGAUCCAUUUUAAUGCAGUCACUCUGAAUGUUAAGAAAUGCCACAAAAGACGACUUAUGAGUUCAAACAUGUCUAUUUUAAGCAAUUAUUCUGGUUAGGGUGUUUGUAGCUAGUCACAGCUUUCACUAAUUAUAUCAUUUAGUAUUUAUACUCUCUUCCAAAUACUUGUGAAAAUGUCAUGUGCACUAGUUAAUUCGUGUUUGUAGUUUACUUCGGCUCUUGACCAGAGGUUGUUGAAGACUGACCCUGGGACCUCCUGCAGUCAAUGCAUAUGCUUAACCCCUUGAACCUGUGGCCUCUUCCCAAACCAGGGUUGGGUGUAUUUGUCCUUCAGAAAUGCUGGAUUUUUAUACCUUAAGCAAGAGGUACAUGGAUGCUUUAGCUGAGAUUCCUGCUUAUCAGAGGGUUGGACUAGAUGACCCUUGGUGUCCCUUCCAGCUCUACUGUUCUGUGAUCAUGAUUGCUUGUGGGAAGGGCCAAAGAGCUAUGCAGGGUGCAUAGAAAUCUGGGGGUAUCGUCUCUGGCUUGAGAAAGAGAGAGAGCCCCAGAUAUUGCUUGCACAUCUUAAGGAUAGCUGGAUCCAAGUCAAUUCAAAACCUAAAUGGAAGCAAAUAAUUUCCCCUUAAUUCCUCUUUGCUCUGUGUUGCAGACAGAGCCUUCUUUGUAUCCAAAGUUCCCUGAUGAAAGGCCAAUUGUGGCACUAAGUUGUGUUAGGUUCUGUUUAUUUACUAAGAUAUUCUUCUUUCCACUGCUGUGCUUUAAAUUUUUGCAUAAGGGCUACAUUUAAAAACAAAACAAAAACCAAAGAGCUGAGAUUUUUCAGGAUCCUGAAUUCUCUUCCCAAGACCUACUUUCUUUGCCAGUGAGUUGUUUGCCCAGAAUACGCAAAGCCCCUGAACAUGACAAAAUUGUGCAACCACGGAACAAUAAUUUCAGGUGAAAGAAGCAGGACUCGGGAGUAAAUGCUUGCUUAAAAAGAAGAAGAGUUUAUGUUCCUUUUGCUGAAUUUGUUUGCCAGGGUGUUCCUAGAACAGGCCCCCCCCCCCCUUCUUAAGGUGCUUAUUUCCAUUGCAGAGAAGGGUACUCCUUCCUUUCUAGGAAGCAACUCUAUGGUGGCUGUUUCCUGUAUAUUAACAGUGACUGCUUGCAAGGAAUCAUGGGAAGGAUUUGAAAACACAGUAAAUAACUGUAUGAGGCACCUCUCCUUGACUUCCAUUUGGGUGCGAGCUGUACUUCAAAAAGAUUAAAAAGGAGAAGAAACGGGGGGGGGGGAGCGGCUGGGAGAAUAAGGGCAUUUGGAUUAUCACAAGUCAUGUAUGUGGUAUACAGACACUCCUCUGUCUAGGGGAAGCCAGCCUUCAUGAAAUGCCAUCUCCAUUCUGAAGUUCAUUUGGCCCCUCUUCUGGCAAACUUUUGGAAUAAUUUGUGAACAUGGCCAAACUGGUGAUGCUUGUAGACUGAAGAGAGAUCUGUGGGUGAUCUAAUAUUGUGCACAAGUGGAUUUAAAGUUGCACCAACAGAGUGUCCCCUUCUUAAAGUCCUCCCUCCUACUCCAAAGGGUCUCAUAGUUUAUACAGAACAGAUUUGGGGGGUAUAUUUGAGGGGACUGUGGGCAUCGGGGAAGUAGACGCCUGUUCUGCCACCAGGUAGGCACAGUUGAUCUGAGUUUAGGCACUACAGAUUUUUGUUGCAUUUCUGUAAGGGCACUUGAAUCUGACACAGAGGCUGCCUUCACACCAUACAUGUAAAGUACCUCCCCCUGCAAAAUAAUCAUGGGAACUGUAGUUUAAGGGUGCUGGAUAUUGUAGUUCUGUGAGGGUUAAACUACAGUUCCUAGGAUUCUUUUUUUUGGGGGGGGUUGUUUUGUGGAUCUACACUGUGGAUUUAAUGUUUAUUUCCUUGGAGUGCUUCAGCUAAACUUCCUAGGACAGUUCUCUUACCCUGAGGUUUCUACUGUCUUCAGAUAAGUUGGGGUUCAUUAAUUUGUGGAAUGGCCCAGGUACCCUCUUCGUUUUCAAUUUGCCAUGUUUCCACAUAGCUAACAUCUGUAUUUGUUAAGAGGCUUUUCUUUCAGCUGAGAAGAGGGCUUUUGACUGGUCAGUUUUGCUAAGCAAACAGCUCCUCUGUUUGUAAACUGUCCUUGAUAUUUUUUCAGGCACUGGCAUUCCUGCUCUGCUGUUCAUUGUCUGCCAUAAGCCUCUCAUGCUGCCUAUACGUGACUGAUAAAUCACAACCUUUUCAAGGUAGUUUUUUCCACUUCCACAGAAUGUAACUGGACCAGCUUAUUUGUGCGGCAGAACAAAGGCUUAUGACAAACCAAUCUUCUAAUGUCAACAAGCAGUGCAGACUCUUAAAAACGGUUACCUGGAGAAUGGUUGAAACUCUGGCAGUUUCCAGGUUAGGGUGUAGCCAGAAUUCUAAUUGCUCAGUGUUGACUUUUCACAAGGACAGUAGCUGGUGAAUUCACUUCAAAGGGGGCCUUUAGCCAUAGAUACAAUUCUCUGCCAGCUAGAGCUGUUGGCUUGCUGGGGAGAACUGCAGAACAGUGAUCUGCAUUGGGAUAGUGAGGAGUUUAUGCAUUUUGCAAAUGCCACUUUGUGGGUCCUUAGCAAUUCCCUUGUGUCUCUCAAAACUGCAGCAG
Podarcis lilfordi (Lilford's wall lizard) is the source of this 8099-nucleotide non-coding RNA. Lineage: Eukaryota; Metazoa; Chordata; Lepidosauria; Squamata; Lacertidae. The record is from the annotation of a GenBank genome assembly.